RNAcentral lists this ribosomal RNA (780 nucleotides) under uncultured Neocallimastigales. RNAcentral's name for it is "partial large subunit ribosomal RNA". It matches the Rfam family "Eukaryotic large subunit ribosomal RNA", at positions 24 to 627 of the family's 3401-position model. The record is from RNAcentral. Lineage: Eukaryota; Fungi; Neocallimastigomycota; Neocallimastigomycetes; Neocallimastigales.
UAUCUCUGUAGAGUCUGCAUAUCAAUAAGCGGAGGAAAAGAAACUAACUAGGAUUCCCUCAGUAACGGCGAGUGAAGCGGGAAGAGCUCAAAUUUGAAAUCUUCAAGGUUCUACCUUGACGAAUUGUAGUUUAAAGAAGUGUUUUCUGUUGGAGUUUUGGUAAAAGUUCUUUGGAAUAGGACAUCAUAGAGGGUGAGAAUCCCGUAUUUGACCAUUAUUUCCAGCUUUGUGAUACACUUUCAAAGAGUCGGAUUGUUUGGGAAUGCAGUCCAAAAUGGGUGGUAAAUUUCAUCUAAAGCUAAAUACUGGCGAGAGACCGAUAGCGAACAAGUACCGUGAGGGAAAGAUGAAAAGAACUUUGAAAAGAGAGUUAAACAGUACGUGAAAUUGUCAAAAGGGAAGCGUUUGACACCAGUGUUGUUUUCUCGAAAAUCAAUUAAAAAAGGCAGGAUUUUGUGUUGUAUUGACUUUAUCAGCUUUCUGCACUCCUUUCUUGUCUUUUUUAAUGCACUUUUCGUUUAACAAGUCAACAUCAAUUUCUUUUGUUGUAAAAGAGUCAUUGGAAGGUGGCUUUCACUUUCGGAUGAAAGUGUUUAUAGCCCUUGGCCUCUGCAAUCGGAGAGAUUGAGGUCUGCAGCGUAGAUCCUUCGGGGUUAGAUACAGUUAGAUGCUAAGUUAUAGCCUUUCUAUAGACAACUUGUUGACUAUAAUCAGUCAUGUAGCUUACUCGCUUAUGGCUAUUUUACCUACGCUUAGGAUGUUGACGAUCAGCUGAGCGCG